ACGUAAGGGGCGAGUGUUAUUAGGAAUAACUGGGUGUAAAGGGUAUGUAGGCGGCGCUUCAAGUGGCGUGUCAAAGUACAGUGCUCAACGCUGGGUGUGCGCGCGAUACUGACGGGCUUGAGGGCUGGAGAGGUGAGCGGAAUUCCCGGUGUAGUGGUAAAAUACGUAUAGAUCGGGAGGAACACCAGCGGCGCAGGCGGCUCACUAGACAGUUUCUGACGCUAAGAUACGAAAGCGUGGGGAGCAAACAG
This 251-nucleotide ribosomal RNA is filed under the name uncultured prokaryote. RNAcentral describes it as "partial 16S rRNA". It matches the Rfam family "Bacterial small subunit ribosomal RNA", at positions 525 to 775 of the family's 1533-position model. The record is from RNAcentral.